Molecule: non-coding RNA, 82 nt
Organism: Alligator sinensis (Chinese alligator)
Lineage: Eukaryota; Metazoa; Chordata; Crocodylia; Alligatoridae
Source: Rfam
GGCAGUGUGGCCGAGCGGUCUAAGGCGCUGGAUUUAGGCUCCAGUCUCUCUGGGGACAUGGGUUCGAAUCCCAUCGCUGCUA